Molecule: ribosomal RNA, 460 nt
Filed under: uncultured bacterium
Lineage: Bacteria
Description: partial 16S ribosomal RNA
Rfam family: Bacterial small subunit ribosomal RNA
Source: RNAcentral
CCUACGGGAGGCAGCAGUGAGGAAUAUUGGUCAAUGGACGAGAGUCUGAACCAGCCAAGUAGCGUGAAGGAUGACUGCCCUAUGGGUUGUAAACUUCUUUUAUAUGGGAAUAAAACGUUCCACGUGUGGGAUUUUGUAUGUACCAUAUGAAUAAGGAACGGCUAACUCCGUGCCAGCAGCCGCGGUAAUACGGAGGAUCCGAGCGUUAUCCGGAUUUAUUGGGUUUAAAGGGAGCGUAGGUGGAUUGUUAAGUCAGUUGUGAAAGUUUGCGGCUCAACCGUAAAAUUGCAGUUGAAACUGGCAGUCUUGAGUACAGUAGAGGUGGGCGGAAUUCGUGGUGUAGCGGUGAAAUGCUUAGAUAUCACGAAGAACUCCGAUUGCGAAGGCAGUUCACUGGACUGCAACUGACACUGAGGCUCGAAAGUGUGGGUAUCAAACAGGAUUAGAUACCCUUGUAGUC